This 497-nucleotide ribosomal RNA is filed under the name uncultured bacterium. RNAcentral describes it as "partial 16S ribosomal RNA". It matches the Rfam family "Bacterial small subunit ribosomal RNA", at positions 28 to 507 of the family's 1533-position model. The record is from RNAcentral.
GAUGAACGCUGGCGGCGUGCCUAAUACAUGCAAGUCGAGCGAACAGACGAGGAGCUUGCUCCUCUGACGUUAGCGUCGGACGGGUGAGUAACACGUGGAUAACCUCCCUAUAAGACUGGGGUAACUUCGGGAAACCGGAGCUAAUACCCGAUAAUAUAUUCAACCGCAUGGUUCAAUAGUGAAAGACGGUUUUGCUUUCACUUAUACAUGGAUCCGCGCCGCAUUGGCUAGUUGGUAAGGUAACGGCUUACCAAGGCAACGAUGCGUAGCCGACCUGGGAGAGGGAUCGGCCACACUGGAACUGAGACACGGUCCAGACUCCUACGGGAGGCAGCAGUAGGGAAUCUUCCGCAAUGGGCGAAAGCCUGACGGAGCAACGCCGCGUGAGUGAUGAAGGUCUUCGGAUCGUAAAACUCUGUUAUUAGGGAAGAACAAAUGUGUAAGUAACUAUGCACGUCUUGACGGUACCUAAUCAGAAAGCCACGGCUAACUACGUG